RNAcentral lists this ribosomal RNA (584 nucleotides) under Aspergillus bombycis. RNAcentral describes it as "partial large subunit ribosomal RNA". It matches the Rfam family "Eukaryotic large subunit ribosomal RNA", at positions 67 to 669 of the family's 3401-position model. The record is from RNAcentral. Lineage: Eukaryota; Fungi; Ascomycota; Eurotiomycetes; Eurotiales; Aspergillaceae.
ACCCGGGCAUGCUCAGUACGGCGAGUGAGCGGCAAGAGCUCAAAUUUGAAAGCUGGCUCCUUCGGGGUCCGCAUUGUAAUUUGCAGAGGAUGCUUCGGGUGCGGCCCCUGUCUAAGUACCCUGGAACGGGUCGUCAGAGAGGGUGAGAAUCCCGUCUGGGAUAGGGUGUCCGCGCCCGUGUGAAGCUCCUUCGACGAGUCGAGUUGUUUGGGAAUGCAGCUCUAAAUGGGUGGUAAAUUUCAUCUAAAGCUAAAUACUGGCCGGAGACCGAUAGCGCACAAGUAGAGUGAUCGAAAGAUGAAAAGCACUUUGAAAAGAGAGUUAAAAAGCACGUGAAAUUGUUGAAAGGGAAGCGCUUGCGACCAGACUCGCCCCCGGGGUUCAGCCGGCAUUCGUGCCGGUGUACUUCCCCGGGGGCGGGCCAGCGUCGGUUUGGGCGGCCGGUCAAAGGCCCCUGGAAUGUAGUACCCUCCGGGGUACCUUAUAGCCAGGGGUGCAAUGCGGCCAGCCUGGACCGAGGAACGCGCUUCGGCACGGACGCUGGCAUAAUGGUCGCAAACGACCCGUCUUGAACCACGGACCAA